UAACGGAUGGAUGGAUGGCUGGAUGGAUAGUUUACAGUGUAGUCGAAAUUCCACACAUUGAGAGGUGUUUCUAUGUUUACCAAUUGGAGCACUCAAAUCAAACACUUAAGUAUUUUUCAGAAUUAAUUUUUUGUGCCUUUUUCAUGUCCCCUGGACUGAAGAACAUUGAUGCACGUUUGUCUCUUUCUGAAGUGUUGGCAGGGGAAGUGUGAGAAGAUGCGUAGUGUGGUAUCCUCUCGUGUGUCGGCAUCCUAAUGUGUGCCUCCCACUACUGCCACUGGCGCUUCAUGCAUUCCGUGCUCACAACUAAAAAUCAACUCCGGAUAAUCGAAUAAUCGAAGGUAAGAGCAACAAUAUGCAUUGCACCGAUAGAUAAACAUUUCAAAUCAUCAUUCCGAUUGCUCUUUAGACAGUCGGUGUUCGUUUUCCAAACUGAAAAGUGCAUCAUGCUUUCACUUACAGUGGUGGUUAGAUGCGGAUCCCCCAAGCCACUGAUGCCUGCUCGCCUGACCAUAUCGCUGCCUCGCUCUCCGCCGUAGUGUGCCUUCUCAUGCGUGAUCUUCAUGUGCCGCCCUCUGACAGAAGCAAUGACACCUCUGUUUUACUAUUCGCGGAAGCAUGCAACGGAAACCGAGUCACAUGGACAAGCUGCAAUCAGAGAGAGGUUCUCAAGCUCAAGGGGGCCACAGGAAGGCAGGCAAGUGCUGCUCAACUUCUCUUCUUCCUCUUCGCCGGAGCCCAGGCGUUAUAUCUCGCAUAUUAGAAUUGUGGUUGCGAGCGCAGCUGCCACCACCCCAACCCUGGCAAAACACGCCCUUGACACUCUUUUGACACACUCUUGGCCUCUUCUGAUCAGCCAUCAUGCUGGAGAGGAAACCAGUCAACGUACACACCCUUCCUGCUCGGUUUGAGGCCUGCUGCUGCAAUACCUACUUCAGUUAGAAUGAUAUUAUUGGAUCUUAACGAUUGAAUAGUUUCAACGCUCUUAGGCUCGAUGUAAGACACACCAGGGAAAUUGGAAAAAAUUGUGUUCAUCGCAAAUCAGCAAGAUAGUUUGGGGGUUUUUUUUUUUUUGGUUUUUUUAUGUUUGGCAUUUUUUUCUCCAUUGAUCAAAUUGUCCCUGGAGGCAUAUUUUGACCCAAGUUGUUUAUCCUUGGUAUCCACCCCUCAGGCAAAAAUAGGGAACAAGGAAUAAGGAAGUGAAGUGGCUGGCUGGAGCAUAGGUCGAAAGUGGGGCAAAAAAAAAAAAAAUUAAUCUGUGGCACGUGAUACCUUGUGGCAAAAUCGAUGUUUGACUGACAGGUUUCUAAGCACUCAUAGUGCUCCUGUCCUGGUUGUAUAGGAAUUAUCAAUUGGCUUUGUAAGCAUGCAUUUGGACCUGUGGGAGGCAUUAUUGUCUUUUGAAACGACUUUUUUAGUACAGCUUUUGUUUUGAUGCAGGUGUACCUCAAGGGUUUUAUCUGUUUACUACAGUCAAUUGGUUCAUGUUUUGCCAUGCUUUUGCCUAUGUUGGUUUUCCAGUGUCACGCUUCUCUAUUUGUUUAUGUGAAUUAUGAGCUACAGUUCUAUCAUUUCCUUUAUUUGUUUAUAUUCAGAGCAAUUUGAGAGGCAUAGGUGCAUCGCCACGAAGGCACGUGGUGACAUGUACGUCAUAAACUGAAAUCGGAGCAUGUCUAAUGCUGUGUUGACUGAAGAUGAUUUUUCGGCCUUAUUGUUUGCCUUCCGCUUCGGGGAUUAAGGCUGCGAUGAGGAACAGCACAACAUGUGAAUCUGAGUUCUAUUUCUGUGAACUGAGGAGGAGGAAUAGUCGCUAUUGUCGUAGGGGGAUGUGGGAUAUUUUCUCUCAGGAAAAAAAAAACAAUUUUUCAGUUUCAUGCUGUUGAAAUUCUUCAGAACCCGUUUAUUGUUGUGGCCGUAGCGUGCAAUGAAUAAUAAGCAAAAUGUCAGGAGCUCCUCGAUGCAGCGUUACUUCAGUGUUAAAAUAGGGAGCAUGAAUGACAACGAUGGCGCAACAGAUGCAGAGAAGCAAGAUAUUCCCCAUCCAGGAGAAUCAUUUGUUGUUGGCUAUCAGAAAUAUUUCUUGCACAAGUUUGUUAUGUCUUGUGCCAGCCUAAAGGUUUUCAAAACGGAUAUUGUAUUUUAAGUGACAGUAAAAAAUAUAUAUAAUAAUAAUAAAUUUACUUGAUACUAAGUAGUACAUUUCAGAGUUUAUACUUUUAAUCAGGCAAAGGAGUUGAGUUGUUUCAUUACAUUGAUUGUGUCCGCGUGUACUUUUGCCACCUCUUUGAAUGCUCAGAAAAUGCAUUGGAAGAGCUUGCAUCGAAAAAUAACAUUCACAAGACAAUCGCUGCACUGACCUCUUGUGGAAACAGCCUCAAACGAGAAGUCAUAAGCAAUCAUUCAUUUCAGCCCUUUAGAUUGAGCAGACACCAUGAAGAGAUCUUGAACGCAAACAAAGCCUCUGGGGAAUAUGUCGAGAUGAUAUGAAGAAUGGAGACGUUGAUUGAGGAAUACAGCGAAAGUACCGGAGAAUGACGGAAUAGAGACAUCGACUCGACAAAUGAGAUCAUCCCACAAGCAAAAUGCAUCGACAAGCCAUUUCGAGUGGCCCCAUGUAAUGACUUUAUUCUCCAACUUUUAAGCUGUACAGAAGCUAAUAGUACCAUAGAUAAAAGAGGGAAA
Molecule: long non-coding RNA, 2682 nt
Organism: Hippocampus comes (tiger tail seahorse)
Lineage: Eukaryota; Metazoa; Chordata; Actinopteri; Syngnathiformes; Syngnathidae
Exons: 2
Source: RefSeq, a predicted model, not a curated record